RNAcentral lists this microRNA (22 nucleotides) under Callorhinchus milii (elephant shark). RNAcentral's name for it is "eshark_mir-2985_1". The record is from RNAcentral. Lineage: Eukaryota; Metazoa; Chordata; Chondrichthyes; Chimaeriformes; Callorhinchidae.
GUAGGUGGAAUAGUGUAACAAU